RNAcentral lists this ribosomal RNA (426 nucleotides) under uncultured bacterium. RNAcentral's name for it is "bacterial SSU rRNA". It matches the Rfam family "Bacterial small subunit ribosomal RNA", at positions 354 to 796 of the family's 1533-position model. The record is from RNAcentral.
GUGGGGAAUCUUGCACAAUGGACGAAAGUCUGAUGCAGCGAUCCCGCGUGAAGGAUGAAGCAUUACGGUGUGUAAACUUCUUUUUUGGUGGAAGACGAAUGACGGUACACCAAGAAUAAGAGACGGCUAACUACGUGCCAGCAGCCGCGGUAAUACGUAGGUCUCAAGCGUUAUCCGGAUUUACUGGGCGUAAAGUAUCCGUAGCCUGAUAUGUAAGUCUGUUUUCAAAUCCCACGACUCAAUCGUGGAAAGGGAAUGGAUACUGCAUAUCUAGAAGUUAUUGGGGGUUAGUGGAAUUUCCGGUGGAGCGGUGAAAUGCGUUGAUAUCGGAAAGAACGCCGAAAGCGAAAGCAGCUAACUAUGAUUAACUUGACGGUGAGGGAUGAAAGUUUGGGUAGCAAACGGGAUUAGAUACCCUAGUAGUCC